RNAcentral lists this long non-coding RNA (3034 nucleotides) under Capsicum annuum. Its description in RNAcentral is "long non-coding RNA (CANN_LNC005376)". The record is from RNAcentral. Lineage: Eukaryota; Viridiplantae; Streptophyta; Magnoliopsida; Solanales; Solanaceae.
CCCCGAGCAGUCCCCAAUUUUAUAAUUAAAAUAAAUAGUAUUUAUACAAUAACAUUACAUGCUCAUGGCUAAUAAAAGACUAAUAAAAGAAACUGAUAGACUAGUGAGAAGAAAAUAACACCCAUCCCAAAGCCCUGACGACUAUUCCGAUCUCAAAAUAUCACUUAGUACCUGUCAAAUACGAGCAAAAGAACGGGGAAAGCACAAAAAAAAAUACUCGAAUAUACCAACACAUUGUCUUAAAUAAAGGAAAACAGAUAUAGCAAACAAGCACAACAUAAUUAUUUUCUAUAGACAUGUUUUGCUAUCAUAAAUGCUACAGAAUAAGAAAGAAUACAUCAAUAGAGACUAACCAAUUAGGCACAAAGCAAUAAUAAUAGAAUCCAAAGCAAUUGCAGCAAAGAUAAGACGAGAUGUUUCUUUAAAAUCCAAAGUGCCAAAAAGCUUCAAAAUAUUUUUAGAGAAAAUAGAGGGAGUAAUAUAGGAGAUGUCCGUAUAUUGUGAGUUGUCCUUUAAAGAAUGGGGAAGAAAUAUUUAUAUAGUAGUCUUAAUAAAGCAUUGAAGGGAACAAAUAUGUAAGGAUCAGUUAGAGAUAGUAAGAAAGGAAAAUAGAUUAUUCUAAACAAUCAAUCAGAAUCAUUUAAGGAGGAGAAAAAUAUUGAAUUUCCUUAAAUAUUAUCACACAAAUCCAAACGUUUUACUAUAAAUCCACAGCAUGAGACAAAUAUUUUAUUUAAAUAAGGCCAAUUAAUUCCAAUCAAAUAUAAAGCACACGCUUAGCAAAAUUCGAUAAAACAAUUAAAGCACACACAUUGGGUUUCCAUGAAUAAACCAGUAAUAAGGGGUCGUUUGAUAGAGUGUAUAAGAUCAAUGUAAAAUAUAAUGUAUUAGUAAUACUUGCACUAAUAAUGUUUGUAUUACUUAUGCUUGUAUUUAUGCAUGUAUUAUUUCUUAUACAUUAUUUGGUUUGAUGUAUAAGAAAUAAUACAUCUUACGUAAUUUCUAUAAAAGAAAUGUUUAUUUACAAAAAUACCCUUCUUUGAUUUUGUACACUUUUUUGCAACAAAUAUUUUUGUCAUCUCAAGUAUAAUUAGUAUUGUUAAACUAGUAUAUAGAAGUUUCGGAUUAAUUACAAGACCUUCGUCUUUAUGCCAAUGAAUUAACAUAAUCGAAACAAAAAUAAAAUAUAAGACGUAAAAUUAAGAAAUAGCCUCAAUUUUUUUUAAUCUUUUUAAAAACCCUCGAAACAAAGCAAAAAUAUGUUACAAUUAUUUAAAUAAAUUAUUAAUUGUUGUAGAUUAAAAUGGUGGGAAAAAAAAUUGUGAAAUAUUUUUUAAAAAUUCACUAUUGCAAAUUAAAGUGGCGGGAAAAGGAAUGAUGAAAUAUUUUAAGAGGAAAAUUAAUUAAGGGGUAUUAAAGUCAUUUAAGAGAUUAAUGCAUGUAUUAAAGACUUUGCAUUACUAAUACAUAGAAAAUGAGUGGUAUUAGUAAUAUACACCUUAAUACAUAAUAAAGUGUAUUGACUAAAAAUUAUACCAAACAAGGUAUUCAUAAUACACAUUAACUAAUACAUGCAUUAUUUUAGCCAAUACACUCUAUCAAAUGAUCCUAAGAGGGAAAACUAAAAGGUAAGAGAAUAUUUUAACAAUCAGUAAGAAGAUUUUCCUUAAUGCAAUGAUCUGAUUUAAUAGAAUCAUAGAUUACGUUAAUCCUACCAAAAAUAAAUAUAAUGAAAAACUGUCCAAGUUAAGAGGAAAGGAAGGCAAUCAGUAAAAUAGAUAGAAAAAUAGUCAAGGCAAAUCACCCCGAAUCACCAUAAAUAAACAAGUAGCAAAACAAGUAAAUAACAUAGAAUAUGGACGGCACUAGUGUUUAUCAAUAACAAAAUUAACGGAAUCAGUCACAUAAUUUGUCAAAAUAGAAGGAUUGUAAAAUAUUCCUCGGGAUAUUGCAAUUAUGCCCAAAAACAUGUAAAAAUUCCAAGAGAUAUUGAACACACAAAUCACAACCUCGAGAAAAAUUAAAAUUAUGCUUAAUUUUAAUACCAUCUUCGUAGCAAUAAUAGUGGAAUGACGAGAGAAUCGAGAUUUAGAGAGUUUGCGAAAUCAGUCCUCAAAUCAGAGAUUAGGAUUAGGAUAAAACUUGCAUAACAAAAAGGGCUUUCGCAUAUAAUAAUCUAUAAAUACAUAAUUAAACAAAUUGAAUCAAAAUUCAGAGUUAAAUAUCAUGAAAUUUUUAUCUAAGCAAACAAAACAUGCAAUUUAAGGUAUUAGACGAAAGUUCAUUAAAAACCUCGUCGGUCAUCAACUCUGGCGAGGAUGUGAUGAAUGAGGCGAGGGAGGACGGCCGGCUAGAGGAGCUUAGGCGGCAGUAGCUUGGACGACUGGUGUUGUUGUUGCAGUGGAGACGGUACCUUGGGUUGCCGGAUCUAGGUGCGUAAAUGGAGGAGAAGAUCGGAGGGAUCUGGCGGCGGUGGACUUGGCAGUUGGCGGCGGUGGUGGCAAAAAUGGUGGCGGCUGGCCUGGUGGUUGAUGUUGUCGGGUUACAUAGCGGUUAUUCUGUCGGCCAAUGGUGGCGGCUGAUAUUGUUGAUACUGCUUCAGACUCUCCGAUCCUCAAUUCAGACGAUUCAACGAUGUGAGAGAGAGAACCGAAAGAGAGCGGAUGGGAGAAGAGAGAGAGAAGUUCACCGGUGAAAGAACGACGGGAGGCAGCGCCGGUUUUUCUUCAACCUUGGUGGCUGGCCGGCGAUGGCAGCCAUGGUUAUUGGUAGAAAAAGAGUAGAAAGAAAGGAGAGGUAGGUGGCUGUUUGGUUGAAAAUGAAUUAGGGUUAGGGAGUGGUUGUUUAAAAGGAAAGAGAAGGCUUAAUUGAUCUCAGUCUUGGAUCAUCGUUGAUAAUCCAGCUUCUCCAUUGCAUCCGGAAUGUCGACUUUAUUUUCGGGAGACCCUUGGUUCAGGUCCCAAGGCUCCCAGAUUUAUUUUGGGAUAUUGAUCAAAUUUUUAUGAAAAGUAAUAAAAUUAUAGGUGUGGGUCCC